CGAAACCAGCCGCGCCCCCACCCUUGGCCUUUGAUUUUUUACACGGAGACCAGCCCCUCUCCUUCAUCUGGGUUACUCUCCCUCACGGGAUCUCCUCCUUUUAGCCAAACCAGAGAAACCCCUGCUUUGGUCUUUGAGAAUUCUCGGUUUCCCUCUUCAGCCGGCCAUAGAUCAGCAGUCUUCUCUCUCAGCCGGCCAAAACCUGAUCUCCUCCCUCAC
RNAcentral lists this long non-coding RNA (219 nucleotides) under Populus trichocarpa (black cottonwood). RNAcentral's name for it is "long non-coding RNA (PTRI_LNC002882)". The record is from RNAcentral. Lineage: Eukaryota; Viridiplantae; Streptophyta; Magnoliopsida; Malpighiales; Salicaceae.